This 391-nucleotide unclassified non-coding RNA is filed under the name soil metagenome. RNAcentral's name for it is "partial contains 5.8S ribosomal RNA, internal transcribed spacer 2, and large subunit ribosomal RNA". The stretch from base 1 to 122 matches the Rfam family "5.8S ribosomal RNA", at positions 35 to 154 of the family's 154-position model. The record is from RNAcentral.
GAUGAAGAACGCAGCGAAAUGCGAUACUUGGUGUGAAUUGCAGAAUCCCGUGAACCAUCGAGUCUUUGAACGCAAGUUGCGCCCGAAGCCAUUAGGCCGAGGGCACGCCUGCCUGGGCGUCACACGUCGUUGCCCCCCCAUCUACUCCUUCGGGAUUGCGGGGUGCGGAUGAUGGCCUCUCGUGCGCCUCGUCGCGCGGUUGGCCUAAAUGCCAAGUCCUCGGCGACGCACGCCACGACAAUCGGUGGUUGCGAAACCUCGGUUGCCUGUCGUGUGCGGUCGUCGCGCAUCGAGGGCUCGAAAAAAUUGCCGGGCUUCGGCUCGACUUUCAACGCGACCCCAGGUCAGGCGGGGUUACCCGCUGAAUUUAAGCAUAUCAAUAAGCGGAGGA